Molecule: transfer RNA, 73 nt
Filed under: Camelus bactrianus (Bactrian camel)
Lineage: Eukaryota; Metazoa; Chordata; Mammalia; Artiodactyla; Camelidae
Also listed under: 1 other name
Rfam family: tRNA
About the family: Transfer RNA (tRNA) molecules are approximately 80 nucleotides in length. Their secondary structure includes four short double-helical elements and three loops (D, anti-codon, and T loops).
Source: Rfam by way of RNAcentral
GAAGGUAUAGCUUAAGUGGUAGAGCGCAUGCUUAGAAUGCAUGAAGUCCUGGGUUCAAUCCCCCGUACCUCCU